UUCCCAGACUCCUACGGGAGGCAGCAGUGAGGAAUAUUGGUCAAUGGGCUUACGCCUGAACCAGCCAAGUCGCGUGAGGGAAGACUGCCCUAUGGGUUGUAAACCUCUUUUGUCAGGGAGCAACGCCGGCUACGUGUAGCCGGACUGAGAGUACCUGAAGAAAAAGCAUCGGCUAACUCCGUGCCAGCAGCCGCGGUAAUACGUAGGGGGCAAGCGUUAUCCGGAUUUACUGGGUGUAAAGGGAGCGUAGACGGCAUAGCAAGUCUGAAGUGAAAGCCCAAGGCUCAACCAUGGGACUGCUUUGGAAACUGUUAAGCUAGAGUGCUGGAGAGGUAAGCGGAAUUCCUAGUGUAGCGGUGAAAUGCGUAGAUAUUAGGAAGAACACCAGUGGCGAAGGCGGCUUACUGGACAGUAACUGACGUUGAGGCUCGAAAGCGUGGGGAGCAAACAGGAUUAGAUACCCUCGUA
This 468-nucleotide ribosomal RNA is filed under the name uncultured bacterium. Its description in RNAcentral is "bacterial SSU rRNA". It matches the Rfam family "Bacterial small subunit ribosomal RNA", at positions 328 to 792 of the family's 1533-position model. The record is from RNAcentral.